Molecule: ribosomal RNA, 806 nt
Filed under: uncultured bacterium
Lineage: Bacteria
Description: bacterial SSU rRNA
Rfam family: Bacterial small subunit ribosomal RNA
Source: RNAcentral
UGGUGAGGUAACGGCUCACCAUGGCGAUGAUGUCUAGGGGUUCUGAGAGGAAGGCCCCCCACACUGGGACUGAGACACGGCCCAGACUCCUACGGGAGGCAGCAGUGAGGAAUAUUGGACAAUGGAUGGAAAUCUGAUCCAGCCAUGCCGCGUGCAGGAAGACGGCCCUAUGGGUUGUAAACUGCUUUUCUACGUGAGCAAUAAGGUCUACGAGUAGACUGGUGAGAGUAGCGUAGGAAUAAGCAUCGGCUAACUCCGUGCCAGCAGCCGCGGUAAUACGGAGGAUGCGAGCGUUAUCCGGAUUUAUUGGGUUUAAAGGGUGCGUAGGCGGCUUUUUAAGUCAGCGGUGAAAUUUUGCAGCUUAACUGUAACAGUGCCGUUGAUACUGAGGAGCUAGGAUUUGGUUGCUGUGGGUGGAAUGUGUGGUGUAGCGGUGAAAUGCUUAGAGAUCACACAGAAUAUCGAUUGCGAAGGCGGCUCACAAAGCCAAGAUUGACGCUGAGGCACGAAAGUGUGGGGAUCAAACAGGAUUAGAUACCCUGGUAGUCCACACUGUAAACGAUGAUAACUCGCUGUCGGCGAUACACAGUCGGUGGCCAGCGAAAGCGAUAAGUUAUCCACCUGGGAGUACGACCGCAAGGUUGAAACUCAAAGGAUUGACGGGGGCCCUGCACAAGCGGAGGAACAUGUGGUUUAAUUUCGAUGAUACGCGAGGAACCUUUACCCGGGCUCGAACGGUGCAGGUAUAUGGUAGAGAUAUCAUAGCUAGCAAUAGUCUGGUAUCGAGGUGCUGCAUGAUUGUCGUC